AGCGUAGACGGUUAUUUAAGUCUGAAGUGAAAGCCCUCAGCUCAACUGAGGAAUUGCUUUGGAAACUGGAUGACUUGAGUGCAGUAGAGGAAAGUGGAACUCCAUGUGUAGCGGUGAAAUGCGUAGAUAUAUGGAAGAACACCAGUGGCGAAGGCGGCUUUCUGGACUGUAACUGACGUUGAGGCUCGAAAGUGUGGGUAGCAAACA
RNAcentral lists this ribosomal RNA (207 nucleotides) under uncultured bacterium. Its description in RNAcentral is "partial 16S ribosomal RNA". It matches the Rfam family "Bacterial small subunit ribosomal RNA", at positions 568 to 774 of the family's 1533-position model. The record is from RNAcentral.